AGUGAAUCAUCGAAUCUUUGAACGCAUCUUGCGCUCCUUGGUAUUCCGAGGAGCAUGCCUGUUUGAGUGUCAUUAAUCUUCUCAAAACAUUUAACUUUGUAAUGUUUUGGAUUUUGGGAGUCAUUGCUGGCCGGUUGGAGUCAGCUCUCCUUAAAAGUAAAUAGGAUGGGAAAGGCCCUUUCUCCACUCAUUUGGUGUGAUAAUUAUCUAUGCCAAGGGGGG
RNAcentral lists this unclassified non-coding RNA (222 nucleotides) under uncultured fungus. RNAcentral's name for it is "partial contains 5.8S rRNA and ITS2". The stretch from base 1 to 72 matches the Rfam family "5.8S ribosomal RNA", at positions 83 to 154 of the family's 154-position model. The record is from RNAcentral. Lineage: Eukaryota; Fungi.